GCGCUGGGAACUCGGUACAGAACCUCACGUUGUGCCCCAGCUCCAUGACCUUCGGCUGACUGAAUGGCGUUAAACGCUGCCAAGUCUUCCUCUAGGAUACUUAGAGCUUUUUCAUAAUCUGGCACUUCUGCUUGCUUUUCUUCACAUAUCAGAAGGCAGAGGGCUUGGGAGAGAACAUACGUGCGUAAACAGGUGUUAAUUCAGAAGUGAAUGGAAUCAGCUGCAUCUCUUCCUCAGCAUCUCUGUCAGGGAGAAGUUGCUUUGCCUCCUAUUCGUAGACAAGGGAGGCCUCGUGUGGUCAGUUCUGCUAACAGCUUCGUGCAAAGCUGCGGGGAGGAAGGAGCCCUGCCUCGGGCACUCCUGCCUGCUAUCUGCCAGCAGCCUGUGGCAUAACCGCGCUCUGACACGCUCUGAUUUGAGGAACAAGAAAUACCUGAAUAUGAUCGCAGGUGGUCUGUUACAGGACAGUGGAUUCUCCAGCAAAAAAGUGACAUGGAAAUGUUCUAAGAGAGACCUUAUGUCAUCAGAAAUACAGUCAGUACUCAAUGGGGACAUUACAGAUUCCUGUGUUGCUGUUGGUUGUGAAAUACAAACUGCAUAUAGCUUUAAAAUGUUAGGGUCUGAGAACCCAGUUUAUGAAUAAAAUGAAAACAUCACUAUUAUUUGUUUUUACAUAAUUUCUUAUUAAUUCAUUUUGUUUUAAAUACUAUGGAAAUGUAAAGCAUUUAAAUACAUGUAAUAUGUUCAAUUAAAGAGAUUCAGUACUUACUAAUCCAAGCUUUUUUAUGGUGGGGGAUUUUGAUACAUACAUGGACAUAUAAUCUAUUACAGUCAUAUUACUUGUGUUUUAUAAUGUUAACUAGAAAACAGUUUGUCAAAUAUCACAAUUUGUACUUGAUUGCAGACUGCUUGCAAGCGGUUGAUCUGGUAACCUUAAUCAUAGGCCUCACUUUCUCCAAAUAUAGGCUUUGUGUGUUCAUCCCUUUUUACUUAUAAGACUUGUUGCCUCUUUCAGUGGAUUUAAAUUCAUUUCCUUGCUUGACAUUAGUCAAAUUUUCCCACAAAACUGAAGGUACUCAGCACUGGGAUAUAGCUCUGAAACACACUGCUCAGGCAGGUCAUCACUUGGCAUACAGGAACAGUUGGUGUGAGAGGCCCUGAGGCUCCAGCUGUACUCAGUGUUAGGGUGUAGCUCUCACAGCUCUGCUCGUUCAGGUCAUCACCUGGUGCAUAGAAAUGGCUCAUGUCAGGGGGGCCAUGAGCUGGCGCAGCCAGAGCACAGCACACCCUGAGGUGUGAUCGGUGACUGCAUCUCCGCACUGGUGCAGGUGGGGCACUUUCUGACGAUGGAAGCUGUUUGGGUUUUUUUUCAUCAUAUGCUCCCCAAGACUUCACAUACAACCCCUUCCCCCUCACUGCAGAAUAGUUCAAUUUUUUUAGACCAAACCAAAACGGAGCAGCCUUCUCUCUUGAGAUUGACAGGAUAGUUGGGGGCAAAAGCAACGUGUAUUAUUUUACAUUUGUAUCUUUAUUUCUGUGAAUGUAAAUGAGGGGCAUUUGGCAAUGGAGCAUUUUACCCCUGGAGUUCUACUCAGGAUCUGAUCUCUGGUAACAUAUUGGUAUUUUCUUUUCUUUUCUUUUUU
Phasianus colchicus (ring-necked pheasant) is the source of this 1643-nucleotide long non-coding RNA. Lineage: Eukaryota; Metazoa; Chordata; Aves; Galliformes; Phasianidae. The record is from Ensembl.